Molecule: long non-coding RNA, 1171 nt
Filed under: Junco hyemalis (dark-eyed junco)
Lineage: Eukaryota; Metazoa; Chordata; Aves; Passeriformes; Passerellidae
Description: lncRNA (ENSJHYG00000009499.1)
Source: RNAcentral
AUUUUGACAUGAUAAAGUAAUACAGAGUGUCUGUUUUGUACUUUCAUCUUUUGAACUUCUCUUGAAAGGAAAGUGAAGAAUGAGAGACUACAAAAUAUAUAAUGUAAACAUGACUGUAUGACAAACCUCAGAAAGGAAUGAAAGUUAAGUGUUGAAAGCCUGCUGAUGUUUCUUUUAUCCUUUUCUUGCAUGAGUCAUGCAAACCUCUGUUGUUUCUCUUCCACUUACUGAUUGUACUUGAUGGUACUCUUGAAGUUGAAAAGUUUCCUGGAUUCCACUUUAAUAUUUGUCGUCUUAAAUCCCCUUUUUAAGAAUUAACAUAAACAACUUCACUUCUUGUCCACCACAGUUUAAAACUUUAAUAAUUGUACUGAUUUCCAAUUAACAAACAUUAAUUCAUUAUUAUUUUUAAGCAGAGAGGAAAAAUAAAAGAACAACUGCUUUGAAGCAUCAGCCCUGAUGGUGACAAAACCAUGAUCCCAGUGGUUAUCCAACUGCUAACUCAGGUCUGUGAAGAAUUUUGUCAUCUUCGUUCAUACAGAGAGUUUGUAACAGCAGUUCCUCCUUUCCAGUAGGAAGCUGUGAGCUCCUACCUGGAACAAAAUUGCUUAAGAUAAGAGGACACCAAGCCAUGUCCUAUGGAAUGCACAGGCAGGCACAGAGGCUGUGAACUGUUGGAAGUCUCAGGAAAGCUCUCAGGGUAGGGAGAGACAGCUAAAGCAGAGCCUGGGCCUUCUGCUGACUUUCUGCAUGGGGUAAGUUUCAACAUAUGCAAAAAAUUUAAGUCUUUGAUCCACUUUAAUUUUGUUGCCUUUCUGUUUUGCUGCACAUCUCUUUUAUUUUAGUUUGUUUUGGUGGUGUGUGGUGGGUUUUUUUGUUUGUUUUAAUACUGAAAUUGAUUUUUUCUCUUUUGGCAUGCAUAAUAUUUGGUUUUUUUCUAAACCAAGAAGUCCUAACCUUUCCCUUAGGCCUUGGAAGUGUUUCUCUAUGUUUAUUUCUAAAAGACUUACUAUUUUCUUUCAUCUUUUGCCAAGGUAGAAAGAACAGCUCUGAAUACAGUUUGCCUAGGAGGGCUGUAAACAGGCAAACACUGCAACAUUCCUCUGAAACACUUGCUGCUGACCACCAGGAGAUGCUGAGUACCUUAGGUGUGUGGGCGCUGCUGCUGGUG